Molecule: long non-coding RNA, 1111 nt
Organism: Lolium perenne
Lineage: Eukaryota; Viridiplantae; Streptophyta; Magnoliopsida; Poales; Poaceae
Source: RefSeq, a predicted model, not a curated record
UACCACAGGCAACCAACCUCGCUCUAAGUCAAGUCAACGUUGUCGUCCCUCCAUACAAGUGCAACGAGCCAACUUCCAAGUUAAUUCCAACCUCCUUACGAAUGGAGUUCGAGCUAGCCUUCCCGAUCGGUUGCUGUUCGUCGCCAAACUACCAAAGUGCACACGACGCCAUUGACCUCCUUCGAUCUCUCUCCAGAUGUCGUGGCCAUAAGCGUUGGAGUACCACACACUAGCUCAGUCGCCAUGCGGGGACUUCGAGGCCUCCUGGUACGUUAAGUAUGCUGGCGUUCACUUGAUUGCUCGGGAUGAGACUCCAUUGAGGUCACGGAAGAGUCCUACCAUGUCGUCAAGUCUUUUCAUGGCACAAACUUCUAGGAGAGAACUAGCUCUUCCUGGAAACAUUCCCGGACGGGUCCAAAUGGGAGGCACGGGACAAUGCCAUCUAGGUGCGUCUUCGAGACGCCAAUGAAGGGUUCAUGGAAACCCACCGGCAGAUCACCGAGCCUAGGGUUCACGCCGAGCGUCCUGCUAACUUGGGGCACGGUCCCAGGCAGCGACUGCCUGCGUUCUUGGUGCAACCGGAGAGCCAGGACUUCCGUGCCCUCGCCUUGCGCCCUACAUGGAGCAGCUCUUGAUCAAGAAGUGCAAGCUGAAGAGAAAUGGCCCGCUAGUGAAGGUGGCCUUCUACAUGGGCGAGCGCUCCGAGCACAAGGUGCAACUUCAGUGGAAGUCCGAGCGCUCGGCUUCAUCAAGUCAUGGAGCAAGUUUGUCAGGAAGGCUGAGCUUUGGGUCAACGACACGCUCGUCUUCACCCCUUCCGACGAUGGCUUCCAUGUCGGUAUAGGAAGGAGAGUUCAUGCUCGAGAAUUUGGAGCUGCAAGAAGCACCGCCAAGGACCUUAUACUGAUCCUUGCCAUUAAGGUUGUAUGCUUAUUCUCUGUCUCUGCUUUUGUGAAGUUAUUGUUAUUGUGCAGGCCUCAUUAGGCUCUUCAACACUUGCUUUUGUGCAUACAUGCAUGUAAUCUUGGCCUCUACAGGCUGCUGAACAAUGCUUUUGGACCUGGGUAGUCUGCCCUUAGGGUUAAGUAGGCGUCUUACCACUCUAAUGCUA